ACCUUCUCCGAAAUUCUCCAUUUUCGUAUACAAUCUCAGGAAAAUUAGGGAGAACCGUGUACCGCUCGGAACCGAUCGCAGCUACGAAUGAUAGAGUCGAUUUGUUGGCAGUCGGCGUAAUGACGAGCAUUUCGAGAAGUACCGUCCGAUCGAGUGGCGGGUACGCGCGAACAUUAUUUUCAGUUCGACGAUGGAACUAUCAAUUUUCGAGUGCACGCGGGUCGCUGUACCGUUAACCGUGCGCCGACGAUUACGAUAUUAUUAGCGGCAUUGUUCCCCGUAACGAGGAUGACGAUCGGCGGACCCCUUCGACGGAGGAAGAAACCGCCCGACUCUCGAAGACGUCGGUUUCGGGCGGAGGUCCGCGGAACCAUCGACGAAACAAAGUAGUCUGCUGCCGUCCGACCGAAUGAUAAUAGCGGGACAAUGACGGACGGACGGGUAUAAUUAAAGAAAAUCGUGGGUUGUCGUCUAACGGCUCUCCACCACCGCGGGACCACCGAGCGAGUCGCAGAACCGUGGUACAGUUACAGGUAACGCCGAAGCCCGGCGAGAAUGCAACGCGCCGUGGCUCGUUCGUCGCGCAAGUUUCCUUUUAACGACUGGCAACCGGAACCGAAGAAACCGAGGCGCCUGUCGGAACAACGGAGAUCCAGGUUUCUGGCGCAGGCUUCGAUUAAACGAAAUCAACGGCUGCCCCGCGAUCGUAUCUUUACGGGACGAUUCUCGACGGGAGAAGAUCGCGAAACGACAUUCCGGAAAAGCUGACAGAGCGCAAACACAGCGAAACGGGAGCAUCGUUGUCUCGCGGCGACGUUUAUCGUUCGCCGCGAAGACGCGCUUUGGUGAUUUCGAUGACUGGAGAAAGACGCUGUCAACCGACGCUCCUCGGGCUCCUCGGAUGUUUCGCACGCGUUGCAUCUAGAGCGCGAAUUUCCGAGAUUUCGCAGAUUUCACCAGUCCACGUUGUCGCGGAACGACGGGUCGAGCUGCAGAAAAUUGAAAGAUCGCGGCCAGUCGAGUACGGGAUGCGUUCGGCGACCACAAAAAUAUCGCUGAAAGAAAGACAAAAUUUGAAUACAACCGACACGGAAAGAAACCCGUUCGUCUACGGACGGAGCAGGUUCGACGAGGUGUCCGACGAGAGUAUCGAAGCGAUUUUUAGCCCGUCCAGUUUCUAUGAGAUUUCUGCGAGACGAAGAUAAUUGAGAAAACCCGCGGUUCGUUCGCGGAAUACGGUAAUGUCUCUCUAAUCGACGCUCGGAUUGUUACGGCUCGUUUUUAUAGUUCCGAAUUGUCAAC
This is a non-coding RNA of Megalopta genalis, 1302 nucleotides long. The record is from RefSeq and is a predicted model, not a curated record. Lineage: Eukaryota; Metazoa; Arthropoda; Insecta; Hymenoptera; Halictidae.